UAGGGAAUCUUCCGCAAUGGACGAAAGUCUGACGGAGCAACGCCGCGUGAGUGAAGAAGGAUUUCGGUUCGUAAAACUCUGUUGUUAGGGAAGAAAAAAUGUAUAGUAACUAUAUACAAAAGAGACGGUACCUAACCAGAAAGCCACGGCUAACUACGUGCCAGCAGCCGCGGUAAUACGUAGGUGGCAAGCGUUGUUCGGAAUUAUUAGGCGUAAAGCGCGCGCAGGUGGUUUAGAAAGUCUGAUGUGAAAGCCCACGGCUCAACCGUGGAGGGUCAUUGGAAACUAAUAAACUUGAGUGCAGGAGAGAAAAGUGGAAUUCCUAGUGUAGCGGUGAAAUGCGUAGAGAUUAGGAGGAACACCGGUGGCGAAAGCGGCUUUUUGGCCUGCAACUGACACUGAGGCGCGAAAGCGUGGGGAGCAAACAGG
Molecule: ribosomal RNA, 429 nt
Filed under: Verrucomicrobiota bacterium
Lineage: Bacteria; Pseudomonadati; Verrucomicrobiota
Description: Verrucomicrobia bacterium partial 16S ribosomal RNA
Rfam family: Bacterial small subunit ribosomal RNA
Source: RNAcentral